This 101-nucleotide ribosomal RNA is filed under the name uncultured bacterium. RNAcentral's name for it is "partial 16S ribosomal RNA". It matches the Rfam family "Bacterial small subunit ribosomal RNA", at positions 1384 to 1482 of the family's 1533-position model. The record is from RNAcentral.
UACACACCGCCCGUCACACCAUGGGAGUCGAUUGCUCCAGAAGUGGCUAAUCCAACCCGCAAGGGAGGCAGGCCCCCAAGGAGUGGUUGGUAACUGGGGUG